This 423-nucleotide unclassified non-coding RNA is filed under the name fungal sp. Its description in RNAcentral is "partial internal transcribed spacer region". The stretch from base 1 to 46 matches the Rfam family "Eukaryotic small subunit ribosomal RNA", at positions 1786 to 1831 of the family's 1831-position model. Lineage: Eukaryota; Fungi. The record is from RNAcentral.
AAGUCGUAACAAGGUUUCCGUAGGUGAACCUGCGGAAGGAUCAUUAACACGUAUCCACGUAUCUACCUCUUGCGAACUUGUUUUUGUUUGUAGUUGUGCUGGGUACAAUUAAAGGAAGCAGAUGGCCAUGUCAGAAUUCAUUUUCUGUUCUGCUUGCCUUUCCGCCCAUGUUUGAGUGUUAGUGUAUUGAGAUCUGUGGAAUGUGUCAUGCAUCCUACAGUCCUGCUAGCAGUUUUUGCUCCUUGGGAUGGGUAUCUGGUGCAACUCGAAUCAUGGUGGUUAUUAACUAUUAACCCUUUUUCAAUUAUUGUCUUAGUGUGAGUGUGUGUGAGUGUGUGUGUGCUCUUUUUUGGAGCGCGCCACCCACCAACUCCCCAAAAAAAUAACAAAGAUACAACUCUUAGCAACGGAUAUCUAGGUUCU